This 372-nucleotide ribosomal RNA is filed under the name uncultured organism. RNAcentral's name for it is "partial 16S ribosomal RNA". It matches the Rfam family "Bacterial small subunit ribosomal RNA", at positions 527 to 896 of the family's 1533-position model. The record is from RNAcentral.
GUAGGUGGCAAGCGUUGUCCGGAAUUAUUGGGCGUAAAGCGCGCGCAGGCGGUUCUUUAAGUCUGAUGUGAAAGCCCACGGCUCAACCGUGGAGGGUCAUUGGAAACUGGAGAACUUGAGUACAGAAGAGGAAAGCGGAAUUCCACGUGUAGGGGUGAAAUGCGUAGAGAUGUGGAGGAACACCAGUGGCGAAGGCGGCUUUCUGGUCUGUAACUGACGCUGAGGCGCGAAAGCGUGGGGAGCAAACAGGGAUUAGAUACCCUGGUAGUCCACGCCGUAAACGAUGAGUGCUAAGUGUUAGGGGGUUUCCCGCCCCUUAGUGCUGCAGCUAACGCAUUAAGCACUCCGCCUGGGGAUACGGCCGCAAGGCUG